RNAcentral lists this ribosomal RNA (253 nucleotides) under uncultured bacterium. RNAcentral's name for it is "partial 16S ribosomal RNA". It matches the Rfam family "Bacterial small subunit ribosomal RNA", at positions 524 to 776 of the family's 1533-position model. The record is from RNAcentral.
UACAGGGGUCGCAAGCGUUAAUCGGAUUUACUGGGCGUAAAGCGUGUGUAGGUGGUUGUACAAGUCGGUUGUGAAAUCCCCGGGCUCAACCUGGGAACUGCUUCCGAGACUGUGCGACUAGAGAUCGGUAGAGGGCGGUGGAAUUUCCGGUGUAGCGGUGAAAUGCGUAGAUAUCGGAAGGAACACCAAUGGCGAAGGCAGCCGCCUGGGCCUGAUCUGACACUGAGACACGAAAGCGUGGGGAUCAAACAGG